UACGGGGGGGGCAAGCGUUGUUCGGAAUUACUGGGCGUAAAGGGCUCGUAGGUGGCCAACUAAGUCAGACGUGAAAUCCUUCGGCUCAACCGAAGAACGUCGAUCGAUACUGCUGUUCUUGAGGGUUGCAGAGGAGACUGGAAUUCCCGGUGUAGCGGUGAAAUGUGUAGAGAUCGGGAGGAACACCGGUGGCGAAGGCGGGUCUCUGGGCAAUUCCUGACGCUGAGGCGCGAAAGCGUGGGGAGCAAACGGG
RNAcentral lists this ribosomal RNA (253 nucleotides) under uncultured bacterium. RNAcentral's name for it is "partial 16S ribosomal RNA". It matches the Rfam family "Bacterial small subunit ribosomal RNA", at positions 524 to 776 of the family's 1533-position model. The record is from RNAcentral.